UUCAAGUCUACUCGCUGCCCUG
This 22-nucleotide non-coding RNA is filed under the name Arabidopsis thaliana (thale cress). Lineage: Eukaryota; Viridiplantae; Streptophyta; Magnoliopsida; Brassicales; Brassicaceae. The record is from RNAcentral.